AGUAAAACUAAGCAAAAAGAAUUUUUAGUUUAACCCCCCGAAACUAGGUGAGCUACUUCGAAACAGCCGUAAGAGCUAACUCAUCUCUGUUGCAAUAGAGUGGGACGAUUUCCAAGUAGAGGCGAUAAACCUAACGCACCAAGAGAUAGCUGGUUACUCAAGAAAAGAAUCUUAGUUCUACCUUAAAUUUUCCAAGUCUGUAUAAACAACCCCCAAAUUUAAGAGUUAUUCAAAUAGGGCACAGCCUAUUCGAAAAAGGGUACAACCUAUAAUAUCGGGUAAUAGUAUUAAGAAAAAUAUUAAGUGGGCCUAAAAACAGCCACCUUUUAAAAAGCGUUAAAGUUUAUUAUUUUCUCUAUUUAAUACCUUGUUCACUAUAAAACCCAUAAACAAUAUUGAGUAAUCCCAUAAUCAUAUGGGAGAUUUUAUGCUAGAACUAGUAAUAAGAAGCAGAACUUCUCCAAAAUGUAAGCCUAAGCCAGUUUAGACAUUCUACUGGCAAUUAACGAAAAUGCAUCAACUUCAACAACAUAUAAUAAGAAAAACCUCAAGAUAUUAACGUUAACCUUACACCAGAACAUUAAUGGAAAGAUUAAAAGAGAAAGAAGGAAC
This 612-nucleotide ribosomal RNA is filed under the name Blommersia sarotra. RNAcentral describes it as "partial 16S ribosomal RNA". The stretch from base 1 to 434 matches the Rfam family "Bacterial large subunit ribosomal RNA", at positions 670 to 1300 of the family's 2925-position model. Lineage: Eukaryota; Metazoa; Chordata; Amphibia; Anura; Mantellidae. The record is from RNAcentral.